UCUUUGCUAGUAUAUCGGUUAGUACACGCGCCUGUCAUCAUAGAUGAGCGCGCGAAAGCUGGGUUCGACUCCCAGGCAGAGAG
Blastosporella zonata is the source of this 83-nucleotide non-coding RNA. The record is from the annotation of a GenBank genome assembly. NCBI's taxonomy places the organism in Eukaryota, Fungi, Basidiomycota, Agaricomycetes, Agaricales, Lyophyllaceae.